GACAGAGGGUGCAAACGUUGUUCGGAAUUACUGGCGUAAAGCGAGUGUAGGCGGUCUCGUAAGUCGGGUGUGAAAGCCCUGGGCUCAAACCCAGGAAGUGCACUCGAAACUGCGAGGCUAGAGUACUGGAGAGGUUGGUGGAAUUCUCGGUGUAGAGGUGAAAUUCGUAGAUAUCGAGAGGAACACCGGUGGCGAAGGCGGCCAACUGGACAGAUACUGACGCUGAGGCGCGAAAGCGUGGGGAGCAAACAGG
Molecule: ribosomal RNA, 253 nt
Filed under: uncultured bacterium
Lineage: Bacteria
Description: partial 16S ribosomal RNA
Rfam family: Bacterial small subunit ribosomal RNA
Source: RNAcentral